Molecule: ribosomal RNA, 253 nt
Filed under: uncultured bacterium
Lineage: Bacteria
Description: partial 16S ribosomal RNA
Rfam family: Bacterial small subunit ribosomal RNA
Source: RNAcentral
UACGGAGGGUGCAAGCGUUAUCCGGAUUUACUGGGCUUAAAGGGUGCGUAGGCGGGCCUUUAAGUCAGUGGUGAAAGCUCCGAGCUUAACUCGGAAACUGCCAUUGAUACUAUUGGUCUUGAAUUCGGUCGAGGUUGGCGGAAUGUGUCGUGUAGCGGUGAAAUGCUUAGAUAUGACACAGAACACCGAUUGCGAAGGCAGCUAGCUAGACCGACAUUGACGCUGAGGCACGAAAGCGUGGGGAUCAAACAGG